This 1449-nucleotide ribosomal RNA is filed under the name uncultured organism. RNAcentral's name for it is "SSU rRNA". It matches the Rfam family "Bacterial small subunit ribosomal RNA". The record is from RNAcentral.
GCUACAGGCUUAACACAUGCAAGUCGAGGGGCAGCAUGGUCUUAGCUUGCUAAGGCCGACGGCGACCGGCGCACGGGUGAGUAACACGUAUCCAACCUGCCGUCUACUCUUGGACAGCCUUCUGAAAGGAAGAUUAAUACAAGAUGGCAUCAUGAGUCCGCAUGUUCACAUGAUUAAAGGUAUUCCGGUAGACGAUGGGGAUGCGUUCCAUUAGAUAGUAGGCGGGGUAACGGCCCACCUAGUCUUCGAUGGAUAGGGGUUCUGAGAGGAAGGUCCCCCACAUUGGAACUGAGACACGGUCCAAACUCCUACGGGAGGCAGCAGUGAGGAAUAUUGGUCAAUGGGCGAGAGCCUGAACCAGCCAAGUAGCGUGAAGGAUGACUGCCCUAUGGGUUGUAAACUUCUUUUAUAAAGGAAUAAAGUCGGGUAUGGAUACCCGUUUGCAUGUACUUUAUGAAUAAGGAUCGGCUAACUCCGUGCCAGCAGCCGCGGUAAUACGGAGGAUCCGAGCGUUAUCCGGAUUUAUUGGGUUUAAAGGGAGCGUAGAUGGAUGUUUAAGUCAGUUGUGAAAGUUUGCGGCUCAACCGUAAAAUUGCAGUUGAUACUGGAUAUCUUGAGUGCAGUUGAGGCAGGCGGAAUUCGUGGUGUAGCGGUGAAAUGCUUAGAUAUCACGAAGAACUCCGAUUGCGAAGGCAGCCUGCUAAGCUGCAACUGACAUUGAGGCUCGAAAGUGUGGGUAUCAAACAGGAUUAGAUACCCUGGUAGUCCACACGGUAAACGAUGAAUACUCGCUGUUUGCGAUAUACUGCAAGCGGCCAAGCGAAAGCGUUAAGUAUUCCACCUGGGGAGUACGCCGGCAACGGUGAAACUCAAAGGAAUUGACGGGGGCCCGCACAAGCGGAGGAACAUGUGGUUUAAUUCGAUGAUACGCGAGGAACCUUACCCGGGCUUAAAUUGCAGAUGAAUUACGGUGAAAGCCGUAAGCCGCAAGGCAUCUGUGAAGGUGCUGCAUGGUUGUCGUCAGCUCGUGCCGUGAGGUGUCGGCUUAAGUGCCAUAACGAGCGCAACCCUUGUUGUCAGUUACUAACAGGUUCCGCUGAGGACUCUGACAAGACUGCCAUCGUAAGAUGUGAGGAAGGUGGGGAUGACGUCAAAUCAGCACGGCCCUUACGUCCGGGGCUACACACGUGUUACAAUGGGGGGUACAGAGGGUCGCUACCACGCGAGUGGAUGCCAAUCCCCAAAACCUCUCUCAGUUCGGACUGGAGUCUGCAACCCGACUCCACGAAGCUGGAUUCGCUAGUAAUCGCGCAUCAGCCACGGCGCGGUGAAUACGUUCCCGGGCCUUGUACACACCGCCCGUCAAGCCAUGGGAGCCGGGGGUACCUGAAGUGCGUAACCGCGAGGAGCGCCCUAGGGUAAAACUGGUGACUGGGGCUAAGUCAUAAC